RNAcentral lists this transfer RNA (74 nucleotides) under Chromobacterium haemolyticum. RNAcentral's name for it is "tRNA-Gly". It matches the Rfam family "tRNA". From Rfam's summary of the family: Transfer RNA (tRNA) molecules are approximately 80 nucleotides in length. Their secondary structure includes four short double-helical elements and three loops (D, anti-codon, and T loops). The record is from RNAcentral. Lineage: Bacteria; Pseudomonadati; Pseudomonadota; Betaproteobacteria; Neisseriales; Chromobacteriaceae. RNAcentral also lists the same sequence under 1 other name.
GCGGGUGUAGCUCAACGGUAGAGCAGAAGCCUUCCAAGCUUAUGACGAGGGUUCGACUCCCUUCACCCGCUCCA